UAGGGAAUCUUCCACAAUGGACGAAAGUCUGAUGGAGCAACGCCGCGUGAGUGAAGAAGGUUUUCGGAUCGUAAAGCUCUGUUGUUGGUGAAGAAGGAUAGAGGCAGUAACUGGUCUUUAUUUGACGGUAAUCAACCAGAAAGUCACGGCUAACUACGUGCCAGCAGCCGCGGUAAUACGUAGGUGGCAAGCGUUGUCCGGAUUUAUUGGGCGCAAAGCGAGCGCAGGCGGAAUGAUAAGUCUGAUGUGAAAGCCCACGGCUCAACCGUGGAACUGCAUCGGAAACUGUCAUUCUUGAGUGCAGAAGAGGAGAGUGGAACUCCAUGUGUAGCGGUGGAAUGCGUAGAUAUAUGGAAGAACACCAGUGGCGAAGGCGGCUCUCUGGUCUGCAACUGACGCUGAGGCUCGAAAGCAUGGGUAGCGAACAGGAUUAGAUACCCUGGUAGUCCAUGCCGUAAACGAUGAGCGCUAGGUGUUGGGGACUUUCCGGUCCUCAGUGCCGCAGCAAACGCAUUAAGCGCUCCGCCUGGGGAGUACGACCGCAAGGUUGAAAC
This 554-nucleotide ribosomal RNA is filed under the name uncultured bacterium. RNAcentral describes it as "partial 16S ribosomal RNA". It matches the Rfam family "Bacterial small subunit ribosomal RNA", at positions 355 to 900 of the family's 1533-position model. The record is from RNAcentral.